Molecule: ribosomal RNA, 492 nt
Filed under: uncultured bacterium
Lineage: Bacteria
Description: partial 16S ribosomal RNA
Rfam family: Bacterial small subunit ribosomal RNA
Source: RNAcentral
AGUGAACGCUGGCGGUAGGCCUAACACAUGCAAGUCGAACGGCAGCACAGUAAGAGCUUGCUCUUACGGGUGGCGAGUGGCGGACGGGUGAGGAAUACAUCGGAAUCUACUUUUUCGUGGGGGAUAACGAAGGGAAACUUACGCUAAUACCGCAUACGACCUACGGGUGAAAGCAGGGGAUCUUCGGACCUUGUGCGAUUGAAUGAGCCGAUGUCGGAUUAGGUGGUUGGGGGGGUAAAGGCCGACCAAGGCGAAGAUCCGUAGCUGGUGUGGGAGGAUGGUCAGCGACACUGGAACUGAGACACGGUCCCGACUCCUACGGGAGGCAGCAGUGGGGAAUAUUGGACAAUGGGGGGAAGCCUGAUCCAGCCAUACCGCGUCGGUGAAGAAGGCCUUCGGGUUGUAAAGCCCUUUUGUUGGGAAAGAAAAGCAGCAGGUUAAUACCCCGCUGUUCUGACGGUACCCAAAGAAUAAGCACCGGCUAACUUCGUG